UGGCGGCAGGGCUAACACAUGCAAGUCGAACGGGCGUAGCAAUACGUCAGUGGCAGACGGGUGAGUAACACGUGGGAACGUGCCCUUCGGUUCGGAACAACCCAGGGAAACUUGGGCUAAUACCGGAUACGUCCGCAAGGAGUAAAGAUUUAUCGCCGAAGGAUCGGCCCGCGUCUGAUUAGCUUGUUGGUGAGGUAACGGCUCACCAAGGCGACGAUCAGUAGCUGGUCUGAGAGGAUGAUCAGCCACACUGGGACUGAGACACGGGCCAGACUCCUACGGGAGGNAGCAGUGGGGAAUNUUGGCCAAUGGGCGCAAGCCUGAUCCAGCCAUUUCGCGUGAGUGNUGAUGGCCUUAGNGUUGUAUNGCUC
RNAcentral lists this ribosomal RNA (371 nucleotides) under uncultured bacterium. Its description in RNAcentral is "bacterial SSU rRNA". It matches the Rfam family "Bacterial small subunit ribosomal RNA", at positions 37 to 433 of the family's 1533-position model. The record is from RNAcentral.